This is a long non-coding RNA of Equus asinus (donkey), 8373 nucleotides long. NCBI's taxonomy places the organism in Eukaryota, Metazoa, Chordata, Mammalia, Perissodactyla, Equidae. The record is from Ensembl.
UCUGAUCUUACCUCUAUGUUUCUUUCUAUUUUUCAGUUUAACAUACUGUUCUUCUGACUUCUCAAGAGUGAUGUUUUUCUAAUGCACAUAUCUCACACUUAACAAGUUAAUUCAUUCCUGAAAACUCUGAUGCUAAAUAACAAGCCAUUAAAAUUUUUAAAUAUUUCUAUCAAUUUAAUGGAAGAAAAUGCUCUAUUCUAUCCCAAUCCAAGAUAGUCAAACAAUUUUCACAUGUAGAAAAACACAUUGGUUGAACAAUGAAAAACGAUUUAAAAAAAGUAAGGAACAGCUUCAAUAAUUUCAAAGUAAAUAAAUACCACUUGUACAUAAAAUUUAAUGUAAUUAAGAAUUACUUUGCCCACAAAGGUGGUACAGAAGACUUGAUGACAGGUGGUGGCUGAUGAAGGCAGGUGCAAGGGAGUUAUUCUUCAGAAGACACGUUCUUUCCACACCAUUUUCUUUACCAAUGUUUCAACCACUGGGAGAGGCUUAUCUUUAUCUUUCACUGAAGCUAUACUUAAAAAUAAAGUUAUUACUGGGGCUGGCUCCGUGGCCGAAUGGUUAAGUUCGCAUGCUCCACUGUGGCGGCCCAGGGUUCAGAUCCUGGGCGCAGACAUGGCACUGCUUGUCAGGCCACGUUGAGGCGGCAUCCCACAUCCCACAACUAGAAGGACUUGCAACUAAGAUAUACAACUGUGUGUUGGGGGGGGGGGGAGGUUGGGGAGAUAAAGCAGAAAAAAAAAAAAAAGAUUGGCAAUAGUUGUUAGCCUAGGUGCCAAUCUUUAAAAAAUAAAUAAAUAACAAAGUUAUUGCACACACACAAAAUCGAUAAGGCAAAACACAGGAAUGCUGUCAAAGACACGGAAAAAAACCUCACCACCCAGCAGAUGGGAGAGUGUGGAAGAGGCGCCCACUGUGUCCCCUCACCUGGCAGGUCUAUGAGAAGCAGUACAUUUGGGGUCUUCCAGACAGGGGCACAGUUCACAUUGGCUCCCCACGACUUUCUUUGACUAGAAAUUGCUAUGAUGACCAAAUUGAUGGGCAUGUCUGUGCCCAAAUCAAAGCGUCAAAAUGUCGCUUUUAUGGCAAAUUUAUCUAGUGUGCUUGGUAGUCACAUGAAAAAGGGGGUGCUCACUGAAAGCGGCUUAUCUUUUCCAGAUGGUUUGGUGGAAAGUCUUCAACCGAAGCCGUGUUCCAUCAGAGGAACCUGUGUAGCCCAUGCCCGUCCCCUCACACCUUCCCCGACACCAGGUGCUGCCAGCCCUUCAUUUCUGUGGGACUGAUGGGUGAAGAGCUGUAGCUUAGGGGGGUGGGGCAGGCUGUAAAGAUGCUCUACAUACUUUUCCUGUUCUGUCUGUUAACACUGGGGCUCCCACUGGGCUGUGUGGUUCCGAUCUCAGGUUCAGUAUGCAGCCUUGAACAGGACAAGUAGGAAAUGAGUGUGAGAAGGGUAGCUCUUCAUAGGAUGCAGAUGAGGGUAAGGGGAGACCACCAGGCUCAGCUUAGCACAGUGCCUGGAACCUAAUCAGUGCUCCAUUCUAGUGGGUGAUAGUGACAACAAGGGGAUCUCAGAGGGGCAGCUCCUCACUCUGUGCCCUGGGACCCUGAGCUCCCCCUGCCCCUAUCUGCACUCUGUUUCCUCCUGGAUCAUUGAACACAGAAUCUUGGUCUCAACACAAGCUCCAUCAGUCAUUCAGUCAGGCGACAAGCAGGGGAAGGCAGAGUUGAGGCAGCCUCAGGGCGCAGAGGGAGUGAGAUCAGGCUGGGAGGGAGAGCUGGGUGCCUUCCUGCUCUGCACUGGCUGGGACACUGUGGUGGGCUGAACCAUGGCCCCCAAAGAUACCAAGUCCUCAUCCACGGAACCAUGCCCAUGUCCUUAUAUGUCAACAUCUUUGAAGAUUUUAAUAAAUUAAGGCUCUUGAGAUGGGCAGAUUAUCCUGGAUUAUCCUGAAUUAUCUGGGUGGGCCCUAAAUGAUAUCCUAUGUGUCCUUACUCAAGGGAGGCAGAGGGAGAUUUGACACACACAGAGGAGGAGGCCAUGUGAGGACUGAGGCCAAAAAGGAGCCUCCCCUGGAGCCUUUGGAGGGAGCACAGCCCUGCCGACACCUCAAUUUCAGACUUAUAGCCUUCAGGAUGGGGAGAGAAUAAAUUUCUGUUUUUAGAACCACCCAGUUUGUUACAGCAGGAACAUGAAGCUAAUACAGAUACACACUCUUCCUGGUCCCAGGAACGUUCCCUGCCCCUCACCCCCCGCACAUGCACACACGCGUGCACACACACACACACACACACCCUGAGGUCCCAACAAAGCCCCUGCCUCACUCACUGCCCCGUCCAUCAGCCUUGAUGAUUCACAGGCGUUCCUGUCCAUUCCAGUGAUACGGGUCUCUUAAUUUCAGACUUUGCAAGUCUCUCUCCCAUCCUCUUAUCUCUUUCUAACUUGUCCAUGGUGUCCAUUGGCAAGAAGUGCUAGUUUUGAUGGAAUCAGAUUUGUCAUUGUUUUUUGCCUUAUGGAUUAUGCUUUGGGAUCUUUGUGUAAGAAAUUCUUCCUUGCUCAGAUGUUACAAAGAUUCUCCUACACUUGCUUCUAACUUCAAAUUGUUGCCUUUUACAUUCGGGUCUUGAUUCUCUCUGGAGCCCACCUCUGUGUGCAGCGUUAAGUCAAGGCCAUGUUUACUUUCUCCAUGUAGUGAUCCAGCGCCCAACACCAUUUCCCACACAGUUGGCUCUUCACCUCUUGGUGGUAGUGCCCCUGAGUACGAGGUGAGGGUCUCCUACCCCCCAGCCCCACCUCCAGCUCCCUGCCCUCUUGUGCAGUUAGAAGAAACUGUUCUCUGACCAUGAAUUCGUAGGGUCUUCCCAUCAGAUAUUCUCCAUUUUUAUGGUGACUUCACUGUUUGGUGACAUGGUCCUUCUGUUGUAGCGUAGGUUUACUGAGCUUCUCCAAAGAUCUACAUGGCAUUUUGAUAGAGAUGACUUUGGAUUUGCAGCUUAUUUGGGUGAUAUUGUCAUAAAAUUAUCAAACCACCCAAGAGCAGGAUAGCGCUCCAGUCACGCAGUCACCUCAGCGGGGUGAGCCCCAUGAGGAAUGUGAGUCCGUGGUGGGGGUGGGUGGGGCGCGCUGCCUCUGGGUGAGGACAUGCAUCUUCUGGAUGCUUUUGGCUACAGCUCACCAACUCGGUGGUCCUGGGAUUGGUUAAUUCCUGGGACCAGGGGAGCCCAGGCUCCAGGUCUCUCCUCCACGAUUCUUGCGGCAUUGCCCUCAUAGUGGAAAGAUGCUGAACAACUCCUCCAUCGUCCUGCACGGAGAAGCAUGGGUCCCUCCUGGGGACCCUUUCAAGUAGCCCCCAGAUGUCCCCACCAGCCCCUUGUGACACCCUCAUGUCUCUUUCUCUGGCCUGGGUCCUGUCACAUCCUGGCCACCCAUCUGGAGCUGGGAGAGGCACCAGGAGGGGGCAAGGGGCAGGCUGCUUGGCCUGGCUUCCUGUCCUCCUUGAGAUCUUAGGACACUGUGAGGUCACAGUGUGGGCAGCCCCAGGUCACAGGCAGCUCUACAUGAUCUCCCUGGCUGGCAGGAGGGAGAGAUCAGCAGGCUAGUUCCAGGAUGGUGGACAUGAGACUGCCCUCACGGCAAUGUGACCCUGGGGCUGUGGGUGGGGAUGACAAGGAUUCCUCCUGACCAGCUGCUGCCAGGCAGGGAAACCCUGUCCCAGAGCAGCCCAGAUCCCUGCAGAGGCUUGGCCCAGACGCAGGGCUUCAAGUGGCCACACUCCAGAGCCUCUCCAAGAUUUUGGAGAGUUUGCCAAAUGUUUAGGGACAGUGAAGGGGCUCCUUCUUGGUCACUGCCUGGGGUUCCCACAUCCCCCAUCCUUUGGCCCAGCCCCAAUCCACCCUGUUAUCUUGGGAUGACAGGGGGCCUGAGAGCACCCUGGACGUGAGGUCUGAGUUCUCUGAAGCCCAGACUGGGGCCAACCUUUGACGGGGGCUAGGGUUGGGGGCCGCCUCUGGGACUCUCAGUCAAGGGGGGGUGGGGAGAAGGCUGCCCCUGAGAUGCUGAGUCCGUGGGGGAGGGGGCUGCAUCAGGCAAUCUUGGUUUUGGCGCCCUCUGGUGGACGCUGGGGCACCCUACAGACCACUCUUCAGGCACAGGAGACAACUGAACACUCAGGAGACUGAGGGGUGGGGCAGUCCUGGGUUUGUCCCAAUAUCAAUGCUGAAAAGCAGGGUGACCCUGAAGUCACUCUGCCCGCUGAUCCUCAGUCUUCUCAUCUGUCAAAAUGGUGACAGAUCCAUUUCAAAAGGUUGUCAGGGAGGAGACAGAGCAGAUGAGACUAUGCAAGUGACACAGCAAUGACAGUUCCCUCCUCUGUCUCCCAGACAGACAGACAGAGGGGCUGAGUCCCACAAGCAGAGGGUCACGCCAUCCUGGCCACUCCCCUCCAUCCUCUGCCAGCAGCUGCCAGGGCAACCGUCCCACAACGGGGUCACCCUUGAUGGAAGCCCUUCAGUUCCAGCUGCCACAGGACCAGAGUCCAAGUCUCUGGCCUGGACAAGGGCUCAUGAGAACUCGUCUGACCACACCAUUCCCUGCCCCUCUACCCAGCCUCAGCCACGCCGACCCACCUCUGGCUCCCACCUCCUGGCCUUCACCCCAGCUGAUUUCUCCCGUCAUUCCCUCCUUACCCUUCCUUCGUCCUCUGGCAAAUUCCUACCCUCCUUCCCACCUGACGGGAAUGGGGUGUCUGUCCCUCCUUUGAGAAGACUUCCUGGACCCCACUCCUCCAACCCUUGACAAGAGUGCCAAGACAAUUCAAUGGGGGAGAGAAUAGUUGUUCAGCGCACGGUGCUGAGAUAACUGGAGAGCCAUGUGCAAAAGAAUGAAGUUGAGCCCUACCCCAUGUCAUAUCCAAAAUUACCCCUGACGGUGUCAAGUAGAGCAGCUAAACCUAUAAAACUCUUAGAAGAAAACAGGAGCACAUCUUCAUAAUUUUGGAGUUGGCAAUCAUAUCUUAGAUAUGACACUAAAAGUGCGAGCAACAAAAGAAAAAGAUAAGUUUAAAAUUUUUGUGCUUCAAAGGACGCUAUCGAGAAAGUGAAAAGACAAUCUACCAAACGGGAUAAAAUUUUUGCAAAUCACGUAUCUUAUAGGGACUUGAAUCUAGAAUAUAUGAAGAACUCUUACAACUCAGCAAUAAAAAGACAAACAACCAAAUUAAAAAUGGGCAAAGAGGGGCUGGCCCCGUGGCCCAGUGGUUAAGUUCGCGCACUCCACUGCAGGCGGCCCAGUGUUUCGUUGGUUUGAAUCCUGGGCGCGGACAUGGCACCGCUCAUCAGGCCAUGCUGAGGCAGCGUCCCACAUGCCACAACUAGAAGGACCCACAACGAAGAAUAUACAACUAUGUACCAGGCAGCUUUGGGGAGAAAAAGGAAAAAAAUAAAAUCUUUAAAAAAAAAAAAAUGGGCAAAGGAUCUGAGUAGACAAUUCUCAAAGAAGAAACACAAAUGGCCCCUCAGGGAACAGGAAAAGAUGCUCAACAUCAUUAGCCAUCAGAGAAGUGCAAACCAAAAUCACGAUGAGAUGCCAUUUCAUACCCACUAUGAUGGCUAUCAUGCAAAAGUUAGAUAAUGAAAAGUGUUGAUGAGGAUGUAGAGAAAUUGAAACCCUCAUAUAUUACUGGUGAGAAUGUAAAAUGGUGCAACCAUUUUGGAAAAAUAGUCUAGUUCUCAGAGAGUUAAACAUGGAGUUCCAUUUGAUCCAGCAAUUCCAUGCCUAAGUAGAACACAGGAGGACUGAAAACACAGGGCCACACGCAAAUUUGCACACAAAAGUUCACAGCAGCAUUAUUCAUAAUAGCCCCAAAGUGGAAACAACUCAAAUGUCUGUCAGUGGAUGAAUGGAUAAACAAAGCAUGGACUAUCCAUAUAGUGGAAUACUGUUCAGCUCUAAAAAGGAAUAAAAUACUGAUACAUGUCACGAUAUCGACGAACCAUGAAACAUGAUGCUAAGUGAAAGAAGCAAAUCACAAAAGACCACAUAUUACACAAUUCAGUUAGAAAAAAUGCCCAGAAGAGGCACAUCUAUACAAACAGAAAGUAGAGUAGCAGUUGCUUAGGGCUGGGGGGAGGGCGGGGAAGAGGGAUUGGGGUUAAUAGCUGACGGGUACGGGGUCUCUUUCUAGGGUAAUGAAAAUGUUCUAGAAUUUAUUGUGGUGUGGCUGCACGAGUCUGCGAAUAUACCAAAAGCCAUCAAAUGGUGCAUUAAAGUUAAGUGAGUGACUUGCGUGCUAUGUAACCUGUAUCUCAAUAAAGUUGUUACAUGCACAAGAAAGGCACACGAUGCAGCCAGGAUGGGGAGGAACUUCCUUUGGGCUCUAGCUUUCUUCUUAGCCCCUCUCGUCCUCACUCUCCCUCCAGGGUGUCUUCCUUCCCACCACGUUCCAAGCCAGGAGUGUCUUAAUCUGUCCUUGGCCAUCCCUGUUGCCCUCCCGUUCUUCUGGGUUGAUCACUGACUGUGCCGGCCUUUCAUCGCCCGGUGUCUGUGAUAGCUGCAGUCAGUUCUCAGAGUUCUUUCUGAUUGAAGAAUCCAGAAUUGAGAAGGAUCGGCUUCCUUCUAGAUAUCAGGCUGCCAUUUGUGAAGUGGCCAUCCAGUGGCCAGGGGCGCCCAGAUCCUUAGCUUUAGCUGGGUACCGGGGCCACAUAACUCCCACAGCCCCAAGAACAAGCAGAUUCCUGAAACUAGAGCUCACAUCCACGUCUGCUAGGGCAGCAACGGUGCCAGCAGGCCCUGUGGAGACAAAGACAAACACGGCGGGCCCUCUGCCAUCGAGACACUUGCUGAGGAGUAGACAAGCCAGCCCUUGGCUGAAGGAAGACUGUGCUGAGUGUCUCAGAGAAAAGGAAGUGGGCAGUGCAGAUGGGGAUCUAGGAGCCAGGCCUUGAAGGAGGAGAAUUUCAAUAGGGAAGGGCAUUCCAGGUAGGUGGAACAGAACAUGCAAUGAUGUACAGACAACAUGUGUGAACCAUAUGAAUUAAUCAUUUUUAUGGGGAAAAAAACUGAUCAAAUAUCAGCAAUUUCAUAUAAGUCAAUCUAAGCAGGCACACAGGGAGAUGAGCCCAGUGCAGCUAGACCAGUGGUUCUCAAAGUGUGUUCCAUGGAAUCCUAGGGUCCUGAGAUCUUGCAGGGGAUCUGUGAGGUCAAAGCUCUUAAUACUAAAGCAUUACUUGCCCUUUUCACUGGGCUGACAUUUAUACUGACAUGACACUGGUGCAAAGCCAUGAUGGACAGAGCUGCUGGAACCUCAGCUCAAAUCAAGGCAGUGGCACCAAGCUCUACCCGUGGUCAUUGUCACUUUACUACCAUGAGCGCACGGAAAACCCAGCAUACUGAGAAAGCACUAAAAAUAGUUAAUUCUAUUAAAUCUCCACCCUUAAGUAAGUACACAUCUCUUUAAUAUUCUGUGUGAUGAAAUGCAAAGAGGGAAGGAGAGCAGCUGCCCUGAGGAAGAGCGCCCGUGCGGCCAGGUGUCUGAGUUCCCAGCUGAAUCAGCCGCCUGUUUGAGGGAGUACCACUUUUACCUAAAAGAACGACUAAUGGACAGACUACGCCUAUUCAGGCUGCAGUUGUGGACAAGCAUCUCCCUGAAAAUGAGUGAUGUGAGCUGGCCACUUGAAGGUAAACAGCUGACAGCAUUUGUUGCCGAUGAAAAACUUGAGCUCUCAGCAAAAAUGAGGAUUUUGGAAAACGUGUGUCUGCCACUGUCAGCCUGAGGUAAAGACAUUCCUGAUGAGAUUGAUGGCGAUGUUAACAAAGGUGCUUUUUGGAUGACAUGUAAUCAAAUAUGUCAACAUCUAGAAGAUAUGCAUCACCCCAUGACCCAGUAUUUGCCAGGUGACAAACACCCCAUAUAAAAAAUCUCCCCCGGGUCAAAGAGCCACUCAAAGUAUGAGCUGGACCGGUGGGUUUCACUGCAACAGAGGAUGCACAUUUCAUAAAAUUCGUCAAGACGGUUUCAGAAUCCAUAUGCUAAGUAAUCUUUAAUAAACUCCCACCUGUCCAGUUUUGGGGUGGUUUCAAAGGAGAAUAUCCACAAUUACCUUAAAAAGGCAUUAAAAUACCCUCCCUUUUCCAGCAGUGUGUCUCUGAGAGGCUGGACGUUCCUUACACACUGCAGCCAACACUGCUCGAAUGCAGAGGCCGAGAUGAGAACCUACCUGUCUACCGUCUCCUAGUCAGCCAGACAAAGAGCUGGCAAAACUGUAAACCGGUGACACUCAUUUCACUGAGUUUGUUGUUACUGUUUCAAAAAAUUCUCAUUUUUCGUUUAAAAAUCAUUAUUAAUGUUAACACAUUAUGAGUUUAUCAUUAUUUUAAAA